Microcebus murinus (gray mouse lemur) is the source of this 3371-nucleotide non-coding RNA. The record is from RefSeq and is a predicted model, not a curated record. Lineage: Eukaryota; Metazoa; Chordata; Mammalia; Primates; Cheirogaleidae.
GCCCCGCCCUGCCGAGCCUCAGGGCCGAGCCGCGCCGAAGCCCGGCCCCGGGCGCGACGCGAGGUCUGCGCUUGCCUUCGGCGGCCGGCUCGGUCUUUGUCUCCCCUCCCGAGGGUUUCCUCUCCCCGCGUCGGGACUCGCUAAAACGUGCUAAUCUGCUUUCCCGACCCGCUCCCGCCGGCGCUGCGCGGCCUCGGGUCCCCGCUACCCUGUGGUAACGCCGCCCCUCGAUUCCGAGUCUCUCCCGACCUCCUCGCCCUAACAUUCCAGCCUUUCCUGCCCUGCCUCCCGCCCGCCAGUGCGCCUUCCCUUCCUGCGGCUUUUGUUUUCUCUUCGCGGCGUGCGUUUCUGUCAGCGUGCUGCGUGUCUUGUUCAUCGUGGUUGUUGACUCUCCCCCACCGGGACGUAGGUUUCAGGAGGACGGGGAUUUUGUCGUCUCGUCCACUGCAUUCCUGGCACCCACAGCCGUGCCCGGUGCACAGGAGGUGCUCCACAGCCUUUUAAGAUUAACCCAACAACGCAGACUGCUGUGUGUUAGCGCCCAAGUGGGAAGCCGCUACCAGGAGUGCCCGACUGACACUUGCGACGAGUCUCCGGCGGGGUUUGCCAGGAGGGAGACGCUGUGGGACGGGAGGGACCCGGAUUUGCCGCCCUCGGUGGUCAUCUCUCACGCUCCGUCUGUCAUUUCAUGCUGCGGACACCGUGGCAUCACCUCGGACAAAGCGUUUUUAGGCUAACUGGCUCUGUCCUUUGGGGUGUUUGUUCCAAAGUUUAGAUAGGAAUAGCGGUGCGAGAACAAGUCCAAGGAUAGCUCUUUAAUUGAAUGGAAAAGUCAUGGGAAUCAACAUACAAGAACCCAAAUCAAAGGCAAGCAAAAGUGUAGCAUUUUCAAGGAGUAUAAAAUCCAUUUUUAAAGUAUCCAGUUGGGUAAGCUUAAUUUUUAGUUCUUCAACAGAAGGUUGCUGUUUAAUCCAGCUUCCUUCAAAAACUGUUUUAGUCAGUUUGGGAGGUACCGGUGGUUUCCUGGUCUGAAAGAGACUUGAAAGUUUGUCAAGUGGAUCCACAUGAUGUAUCUAGUUAUAUUCAGAAAACAGCACCCUGCUGUUCCAGAUCGUGUCAGUGAUCAUCUCUAUUGGCCAAUUAGGUGCUUGGAAUAUACCAGCAAAGAAAAUGGACAAAGAUUCCUGGCUUGCAUUCUAGAGAAGAAGAAUCAGAUGAUGAACCUUAACCAUAACACUUUGCGUACUGCUCACGAGUUUUCUCGUGUUCGCGCACCAUCUGUUAAGGACCGCUCAAGAGUUUUCUUGUGUUUCCCACACUAUCUGUUAUGGACCACUGACGAGUUUUCUCGUGUUUCGCACGCCAUCUGUUAUGGACCUUAGAUGUCAAUACACUGCCUUGUCCACAUUGAAUGAAGCGAUCUCAUUGGUGGAAACCGUGCAGGUCAAUCUACGAAAAACUAUAUGAUUGCACAAACCCAUAAAGCAUUGCAGUUACAUUGUAUUUUGGUCAUUCAAAUAGUCUUCAUCUUCAAGUUCCUGGCGCUUUUUAGGGUGCUUUUCUGCCCUCUCUCAGAAAAAGGAAGGAAACCAACGAAACUGAUACACUUUCGGAAGUAUUUAAUGAUAAUUUAUCAGAUAUUCCUAGUGAGAUCAAAGAUGCAGAUGACUGUUUUGACGAUUCCAGAGAUGAUUCUACUGAUUCUACUAAGAGUGAAAUUAUUAGACCUGUAAGGAAGUGCAAGGUGGGGGUGCUUUCAAGUGAUUCCCAUACUGACGAAGCUGCUGAUAAUUGUUGGUCUGAAAUUGACACACUACCACGCUUAAAAUGUUAGAAGAUCAUGCUGGGGUCACUACAUUUCCGUCUCAGUGUGACUCUGUACCCUUUGUGACCAGUCUCUUUUUUGGUGAUGAAUCGUUUGGGAUGUUGUGCAAAGAGCUGUCCAACUAUCAUGAUCAAACCAAAAUGAAAUGCGCAAAACACCAUCGGGAACAAUAAAGUGGUGUCCGGUUACACAGAAGAACAUCAAGAAAUUCCUUGGCCUAAUUAUUCUGAUGGGUCAAACAAGAAAAGAUAGCUGGAAAGACUAUUGGUCAACAGAUCCUUUGAUAUGUACCCCUAUAUUUCCACAGACAAUGAGUCGCCAUAGAUUUGAGCAAAUAUGGACAUUCUAGCAUUUCAAUGAUACGCCAAAAUGGACAGUCGCUCGGGGAGACUUUUCAAGAUCCAACCUAUGCUGGAUUAUUUCCUGCAUAAAUUUCGAACAAUAUACAAACCAAAGCAACAGUUGUCUUUGGAUGAGGGAAUGAUUCCAUGGAGAGGACAUUUAAAAUUUCGCACGUACAACCCAGUGAAAAUAAAAUACAGUUUACUUGUUCGGAUGGUGUGCGAGGGUGACACUGGCUAUAUCUGCAAUAUGGAGAUAUACACUGCUGAAAGAAAGAAGUUGCAAGAAACUGUUCUUUCAGUCCUUGGAUCCUGUCUUGGCAUAUGGCACCAUAUUUACCAGGAUAAUUAUUACAAUGCUACAUCUGCUGAAUUGCUGCUACAGAACAAAACUAGAGUCUGUGGGACUAUUAGGGAGGGUAGAGGUUUACUGCCAAAUUGGCAAAUGAAAACAUCAAGAAUAAAGAAAGGUGACAUAAUAUUUUCCAGAAAAGGCGAUAUUCUUCUCCUAGCGUGGAAAGACAAGUGGGUCGCCUGAAUGAUAUCAAUGAUCCAUGACAUUUCUGUCUCGACAACAGGAAAAACAAAUAGACAAACAGGAGAGAACAUUGUAAAACCUGCCUGCAUCAAGGAAUACAAUGCCCACAUGAAAGGCGUUGACCGUGCGGAUCAAUUCCUUUCGUGUUGUUCCCUUCUAAGGAAAACGAUGAAAUGGACAAAAAACGUAGUGCUGUACCUUAUAAACUGUGGACUUUUCAAUUCAUUUAGAGUGUACAAUGUCCUCAGUCCACAAGCAAAAAUGAAGUAUAAACAGUUUCUGCUAUGGGUGGUGAGAGACUGGAUAACGGAUGACAAUAAUGAAGGCUCUCCGAACCAGAGACAGAUCUGUCCAGCCCUUCCCCUGGGGGUGCAAGGAGAGCACCUUGUAAAGAUCCACCCAAAAGGUUGUCAGGUGAUAUGAAGCAGCAUGAACCUAUGUGUAUUCCAGCAAGUGGAAAGAAAAAAUUUCCUCUGAGAGCCUGCAGAGUUUGUGCUGCCCAUGGAAAAAGGAGCGAAUCUAGAUACUUAUGUAAAUUUUGUUUGGUCCCUCUUCAUAGAGGAAAAUGUUUUACGCAGUACCCGUUAAAAAAGUACUAGAGACUUUGUUUAAUUAGUUGUUUAAUUGUUUUUGUAAAUAAAAAUGUUAUAAUUAUUGAAAAACAACA